This 259-nucleotide ribosomal RNA is filed under the name uncultured bacterium. RNAcentral's name for it is "partial 16S ribosomal RNA". It matches the Rfam family "Bacterial small subunit ribosomal RNA", at positions 95 to 354 of the family's 1533-position model. The record is from RNAcentral.
UUGGCGACGGGUGAGUAACGCGUGGGGAACCUGCCCUGUACAGGGGGAGUAACACUUAGAAAUAGGUGCUAAUACCGCAUAAGCGCACAGUAUCGCAUGAUACAGUGUGAAAAACUCCGGUGGUACAGGAUGGACCCGCGUCUGAUUAGCUGGUUGGCGGGGUAACGGCCCACCAAGGCGACGAUCAGUAGCCGGCCUGAGAGGGUGAACGGCCACAUUGGGACUGAGACACGGCCCAAACUCCUACGGAAGGCAGCAG